RNAcentral lists this ribosomal RNA (253 nucleotides) under uncultured bacterium. RNAcentral's name for it is "partial 16S ribosomal RNA". It matches the Rfam family "Bacterial small subunit ribosomal RNA", at positions 524 to 776 of the family's 1533-position model. The record is from RNAcentral.
GACAGAGGGGGCAAGCGUUGCUCGGAAUUACUGGGCGUAAAGGGCACGUAGGCGGGAUGGCAAGUCGGUCGUGAAAUCCUUCGGCUCAACCGAAGAACGUCGAUCGAUACUGCUGUUCUUGAGGGUUGCAGAGGAGACUGGAAUUCCCGGUGUAGCGGUGAAAUGUGUAGAGAUCGGGAGGAACACCGGUGGCGAAGGCGGGUCUCUGGGCAAUUCCUGACGCUGAGGCGCGAAAGCGUGGGGAGCAAACGGG